UGUUUGAUGUUCUAACGUGGACCCGUGAUCCGGGUUGCGGACAGUGUCUGGUGGGUAGUUUGACUGGGGCGGUCUCCUCCUAAAGAGUAACGGAGGAGCACGAAGGUUGGCUAAUCCUGGUCGGACAUCAGGAGGUUAGUGCAAUGGCAUAAGCCAGCUUGACUGCGAGCGUGACGGCGCGAGCAGGUGCGAAAGCAGGUCAUAGUGAUCCGGUGGUUCUGAAUGGAAGGGCCAUCGCUCAACGGAUAAAAGGUACUCCGGGGAUAACAGGCUGAUACCGCCCAAGAGUUCAUAUCGACGGCGGUGUUUGGCACCUCGAUGUCGGCUCAUCACAUCCUGGGGCUGAAGUAGGUCCCAAGGGUAUGGCUGUUCGCCAUUUAAAGUGGUACGCGAGCUGGGUUUAGAACGUCGUGAGACAGUUCGGUCCCUAUCUGCCGUGGGCGCUGGAGAACUGAGGGGGGCUGCUCCUAGUACGAGAGGACCGGAGUGGACGCAUCACUGGUGUUCGGGUUGUCAUGCCAAUGGCACUGCCCGGUAGCUAAAUGCGGAAGAGAUAAGUGCUGAAAGCAUCUAAGCACGAAACUUGCCCCGAGAUGAGUUCUCCCUGACCCUUUAAGGGUCCUGAAGGAACGUUGAAGACGA
RNAcentral lists this ribosomal RNA (642 nucleotides) under Shigella sonnei. RNAcentral's name for it is "partial 23S ribosomal RNA". It matches the Rfam family "Bacterial large subunit ribosomal RNA", at positions 2211 to 2847 of the family's 2925-position model. Lineage: Bacteria; Pseudomonadati; Pseudomonadota; Gammaproteobacteria; Enterobacterales; Enterobacteriaceae. The record is from RNAcentral.